GCCUCUAUGGUGAAAUUGGUAUACACGAAAAACUCAAAAUUUUUUGCUUUUAGCGUAUCGGUUCAAAUCCGAUUAGAGGUU
RNAcentral lists this transfer RNA (81 nucleotides) under Cyanophora sudae. Its description in RNAcentral is "tRNA-Leu". It matches the Rfam family "tRNA". Rfam says of the family: Transfer RNA (tRNA) molecules are approximately 80 nucleotides in length. Their secondary structure includes four short double-helical elements and three loops (D, anti-codon, and T loops). The record is from RNAcentral. Lineage: Eukaryota; Glaucocystophyceae; Cyanophorales; Cyanophoraceae.